GACGAACGCUGGCGGCGUGCUUAACACAUGCAAGUCGAACGGAAAGGCCCUGCUUUUGUGGGGUGCUCGAGUGGCGAACGGGUGAGUAACACGUGAGUAACCUGCCCUUGACUUUGGGAUAACUUCAGGAAACUGGGGCUAAUACCGGAUAGGAGCUCCUGCUGCAUGGUGGGGGUUGGAAAGUUUCGGCGGUUGGGGAUGGACUCGCGGCUUAUCAGCUUGUUGGUGGGGGAGUGGCUUACCAAGGCUUUGACGGGUAGCCGGCCUGAGAGGGUGACCGGCCACAUUGGGACUGAGCUACGGCCCAGACUCCUACGGGAGGCAGCAGUGGGGAAUAUUGCACAAUGGGCGGAAGCAUGAUGCAGCAACGCCGCGUGCGGGAUGACGGCCUACGGGUUGUAAACCGCUUUCGCCUGUGACGAAGCGUGAGUGACGGUAAUGGGUAAAGAAGCACCGGCUAACUACGUG
Molecule: ribosomal RNA, 468 nt
Filed under: uncultured bacterium
Lineage: Bacteria
Description: partial 16S ribosomal RNA
Rfam family: Bacterial small subunit ribosomal RNA
Source: RNAcentral